CCUACGGGGGGCAGCAGUAGGGAAUCUUUCACAAUGGGCGAAAGCCUGAUGGAGCAACGCCGCGUGCAGGAUGAAGGCCUUCGGGUUGUAAACUGCUUUUAUAAGCGAGAAAUAUGAUGGUAACUUAUGAAUAAGGAUCGGCUAACUACGUGCCAGCAGCCGCGGUCAUACGUAGGAUCCGAGCAUUAUCCGGAGUGACUGGGUGUAAAGAGUUGCGUAGGUGACAUAAUAAGUAGCUAGUGAAAUCUGGUGGCUCAACCAUUCAGACUAUUAGCUAAACUGUUAAGCUCGAGACCGUUAGGGGUAACUGGAAUUUCUAGUGUAGGAGUGAAAUCCGUAGAUAUUAGAAGGAACACCAAUAGCGUAGGCAGGUUGCUGGGACGGUUCUGACACUAAGGCACGAAAGCGUAGGGAGCAAACGGGAUUAGAUACCCGAGUAGUC
RNAcentral lists this ribosomal RNA (442 nucleotides) under uncultured bacterium. RNAcentral describes it as "partial 16S ribosomal RNA". It matches the Rfam family "Bacterial small subunit ribosomal RNA", at positions 338 to 795 of the family's 1533-position model. The record is from RNAcentral.